GGUGCACCAGCGCUUCAACAGGGCCAUGGAAGAAACAGAAAAGACCACCACUACCUACCUGGACAACGGCACCCACCCCAUACAAGACUGGGCGCAGUUCGAGUCCGACUCAUCUCUGUUUCCUUAACGCCCAGGCGUAGGUGCGCACAGGCGCGUGCUGAGAGCGAACCCCGACUGCAGGGGGGAAGACCCCGAGGGCCAGGACACCGAAACAGAGCGCUUCCUAGCCACCACCUCCACCGGUCGCCGCGUGUCCUUCAACGAGGCUGCCCUGUUUGAACAGAGCCGCAAGGCUCAGGACAAGGGCCGCCGGUACACCCUGACAGAAGGGGAUUUCCAUCACCUCAAGAAUGCCCGCCUCACCCACCUCCACCUACCGCCUCUCAAAAUCGCUACCAU
Molecule: long non-coding RNA, 399 nt
Filed under: Rattus norvegicus (Norway rat)
Lineage: Eukaryota; Metazoa; Chordata; Mammalia; Rodentia; Muridae
Description: long non-coding RNA NONRATT025576
Source: RNAcentral